GGCUCAGGACGAACGCUGGCGGCGUGCUUACACAUGCAAGUCGAGCGGAGAUUGCAUUUAUGUAAUCUUAGCGGCGGACGGGUGAGUAACGCGUAGGCAACCUGCCUUGCACAGAGGGAUAACACCGGGAAACUGGUGCUAAUACCACAUGAUAUCAUAACAAGGCAUCUUGAAAUGAUCAAAGGAGAAAUCCGGUGCAAGAUGGGCCUGCGUCCGAUUAGUUAGUUGGUGAGGUAACGGCUCACCAAGGCGACGAUCGGUAGCCGAACUGAGAGGUUGAUCGGCCACAUUGGGACUGAGACACGGCCCAGACUCCUACGGGAGGCAGCAGUGGGGAAUAUUGCGCAAUGGGGGGAACCCUGACGCAGCAACGCCGCGUGAAGGAAGAAGGCCUUCGGGUUGUAAACUUUUUCGAUUGGGGAAGAAAAAAAUGACGGUACCCAAGGAACAAGCCACGGCUAACUACGUGCCAGCAGCCGCGGUAAUACGUAGGUGGCGAGCGUUGUCCGGAAUUACUGGGUGUAAAGGGCGUGUAGGCGGGAUUGUAAGUCAGAUGUGAAAUUCCAGGGCUUAACUCUGGAGGUGCAUCUGAAACUAUAAUCCUUGAGUGCUGGAGAGGAAAGCGGAAUUCCUAGUGUAGCGGUGAAAUGCGUAGAUAUUAGGAAGAGCACCAGUGGCGAAGGCGGCUUU
This 690-nucleotide ribosomal RNA is filed under the name uncultured organism. RNAcentral describes it as "bacterial SSU rRNA". It matches the Rfam family "Bacterial small subunit ribosomal RNA", at positions 21 to 728 of the family's 1533-position model. The record is from RNAcentral.